ACUGUGUUUGCUGGAUCAGAAGGUAAGUGUUUUAACCUUAUAAGAAACUGGCAAACUCUUUGUGAGAAUGAUUUUAUCAUUUUAUACUCCAUCAGCAAU
RNAcentral lists this microRNA precursor (99 nucleotides) under Marmota monax (woodchuck). Lineage: Eukaryota; Metazoa; Chordata; Mammalia; Rodentia; Sciuridae. The record is from RNAcentral.